Long non-coding RNA from Galendromus occidentalis (western predatory mite), 550 nucleotides. RefSeq lists it as uncharacterized. Lineage: Eukaryota; Metazoa; Arthropoda; Arachnida; Mesostigmata; Phytoseiidae. The transcript has 3 exons. The record is from RefSeq and is a predicted model, not a curated record.
AGAACGAAGUUCGCAUGGACUAUGAGAACACUCCAUCACACAGCUUCUAGAUACAGCGAGCCGUGAGAGAGCUUCUCGCACAAGAUCAUGUCUCCGGGAAAUUUCACCAUCUCUCUGCUCCGCGCUUGUUUACAUUCAGUUCCGAAGUUUAGACCGCUGACGGUCAGUCGGGUGAGGAGAGACAGCUCUGACUGAGUGAGCUCCACCGCUCUGAGGAAAUCGAUCCAACAUGAGGCCCACGGACAAAACAUGGAAGAUCGAAUCGAAGCGAAACUUCGUCCGAUAUUGGUUCAACAAACACCCGGAUCUCUUCGUUCUGGGCUGCCUUACUUCGAUCGCUGUCGUGACCGGUUUUUGGUCGAUAGAUCAUUUCCAGAAAACCGCCCCUUUCGAAUACAGAUAUCAAUACGUUGUGUGGCGGGAUGACGAUCCUCGCGCGGUGAAAAUGAUGUCGAGGAUGCACAACUUCAGACCUCUUCGACGGAUCGAUUAGACAAGUAAUUCAUUCCCGUUUCGGAAGUCUUCAUCCAAUGGAUAGAAUGAUAAGAAU